GAUGAACGCUGGCGGCGUGCCUAAUACAUGCAAGUCGAGCGAACAGAUAAGGAGCUUGCUCCUUUGACGUUAGCGGCGGACGGGUGAGUAACACGUGGGUAACCUACCUAUAAGACUGGAAUAACUCCGGGAAACCGGGGCUAAUGCCGGAUAACAUUUAGAACCGCAUGGUUCUAAAGUGAAAGAUGGUUUUGCUAUCACUUAUAGAUGGACCCGCGCCGUAUUAGCUAGUUGGUAAGGUAACGGCUUACCAAGGCAACGAUACGUAGCCGACCUGAGAGGGUGAUCGGCCACACUGGAACUGAGACACGAUCCAGACUCCUACGGGAGGCAGCAGUAGGGAAUCUUCCGCAAUGGGCGAAAGCCUGACGGAGCAACGCCGCGUGAGUGAUGAAGGUCUUCGGAUCGUAAAACUCUGUUAUUAGGGAAGAACAAAUGUGUAAGUAACUGUGCACGUCUUGACGGUACCUAAUCAGAAAGCCACGGCUAACUACGUG
This 497-nucleotide ribosomal RNA is filed under the name uncultured bacterium. RNAcentral's name for it is "partial 16S ribosomal RNA". It matches the Rfam family "Bacterial small subunit ribosomal RNA", at positions 28 to 507 of the family's 1533-position model. The record is from RNAcentral.